AGUGAACGCUGGCGGUAGGCCUAACACAUGCAAGUCGAACGGCAGCACAGUAAGAGCUUGCUCUUACGGGUGGCGAGUGGCGGACGGGUGAGGAAUACAUCGGAAUCUACUUUUUCGUGGGGGAUAACGUAGGGAAACUUACGCUAAUACCGCAUACGACCUACGGGUGAAAGCAGGGGAUCUUCGGACCUUGCGCGAUUGAAUGAGCCGAUGUCGGAUUAGCUAGUUGGCGGGGUAAAGGCCCACCAAGGCGACGAUCCGUAGCUGGUCUGAGAGGAUGAUCAGCAACACUGGAACUGAGACACGGUCCAGACUCCUACGGGAGGCAGCAGUGGGGAAUAUUGGACAAUGGGCGCAAGCCUGAUCCAGCCAUACCGCGUGGGUGAAGAAGGCCUUCGGGUUGUAAAGCCCUUUUGUUGGGAAAGAAAAGCGGCAGGUUAAUACCCCGCUGUUCUGACGGUACCCAAAGAAUAAGCACCGGCUAACUUCGUG
This 492-nucleotide ribosomal RNA is filed under the name uncultured bacterium. RNAcentral's name for it is "partial 16S ribosomal RNA". It matches the Rfam family "Bacterial small subunit ribosomal RNA", at positions 29 to 507 of the family's 1533-position model. The record is from RNAcentral.